CAGAAACUUAAAGGAAGUUGACGGGGGCCCGCACAAGCGGUGGAGUAUGUGGUUUAAUUCGAUGCAACGCGAAGAACUUACCUGGUCUUGACAUCCCGGAGACCCUUAGGAAACUAGGGGGUGCUUCCAUCUGGAAGAAUCUGGAGACAGGUGCUGCAUGGCUGUCGUCAGCUCGUGUCGUGAGAUGUUGGGUUAAGUCCCGCAACGAGCGCAACCCUUGCCUUUAGUUGCCAGCAGUUCGGCUGGGCACUCUAAAGGGACUGCCGGUGUUAAACCGGAGGAAGGUGGGGAUGACGUCAAGUCCUCAUGGCCUUUAUGACCAGGGCUACACACGUACUACAAUGGCCGAUACAAAGGGCAGCGACACUGCGAGGUGAAGCCAAUCCCGUAAAAUCGGUCUCAGUCCGGAUUGGAGUCUGCAACUCGACUCCAUGAAGUUGGAAUCGCUAGUAAUCGUGGAUCAGCAUGCCACGGUGAAUACGUUCCCGGGCCUU
This 494-nucleotide ribosomal RNA is filed under the name uncultured Desulfobulbus sp. RNAcentral's name for it is "bacterial SSU rRNA". It matches the Rfam family "Bacterial small subunit ribosomal RNA", at positions 894 to 1382 of the family's 1533-position model. The record is from RNAcentral. Lineage: Bacteria; Pseudomonadati; Thermodesulfobacteriota; Desulfobulbia; Desulfobulbales; Desulfobulbaceae.